AUGGUUGACCAUAGGACAUGC
RNAcentral lists this microRNA (21 nucleotides) under Pteropus alecto (black flying fox). RNAcentral's name for it is "pal-miR-380-5p". Its record names the gene pal-miR-380-5p. Lineage: Eukaryota; Metazoa; Chordata; Mammalia; Chiroptera; Pteropodidae. The record is from miRBase by way of RNAcentral.